GCACCAAUAACUCAACGGAUAGAGUAACAGCCUUCUAAGCUGUAAAUAAGAGUUCGAUUCUCUUUUGGUGUA
RNAcentral lists this transfer RNA (72 nucleotides) under Lachnospiraceae bacterium. RNAcentral describes it as "tRNA-Arg". It matches the Rfam family "tRNA". From Rfam's summary of the family: Transfer RNA (tRNA) molecules are approximately 80 nucleotides in length. The record is from RNAcentral. Lineage: Bacteria; Bacillati; Bacillota; Clostridia; Lachnospirales; Lachnospiraceae.